This 1267-nucleotide long non-coding RNA is filed under the name Equus caballus (horse). RNAcentral's name for it is "lncRNA (ENSECAG00000045169.1)". The record is from RNAcentral. Lineage: Eukaryota; Metazoa; Chordata; Mammalia; Perissodactyla; Equidae.
AGCACUCUGGUGCUGGCUCACUCUCCUCCCAGCCCUGGGCUCCUGCUGUGGACUGGCCUCCCUGCUGGGAUGGUGGGAUGAGAAACAGAAAUCUUGUCAGCUGCUCCCUGCUGGGGAUGGGGGCGGGGGGGCACGUUGUCUUUAAUGUGGUGUCCAGCUACUCCCCAACCCACCAGGCACUCUGUCCUGUGUCCUGGAUUUGGCGCUCACCUGAGUAGACUCCCUAGAUUUCUCUGGAAAAUAGGGAUCCUGAGGGUUGUAGGGCUGUCAGUUAAAAUGCUUGGUGGGAGGAAGGUAGGAGAAGUAGGGGGCCCCUCAGUGAAGUGGUCCAGAGUCGGGUGGCCUGUAUGAAAGAAGCGCCACAGGUCUCUCUCCCUUGGAUCUUUGUCUUGCUUCUUCUCUCCCCAAAUUUCUCCACUUUCCAUCUGUCCACCUGCAAACAUUUUUACUUGGCUUGAGUCUGAACUCUACACUUCCAGGGGGAUGCCAACAGAUGGAGUUACAUCUUGAGGAGAGGGAGCUGUCACGGGAGAAGCAGUUGGAGGAAAAUGCAGGACUUUCACCAAGAGUAAGAGCAUGAGAGGGCUGUCCUGAAGGAGGUCUCCACAUGCUUCAGAGCGCAGAGCCCCUUUGCAACAGGUAUCUGCUCUUGUGGCCCGAAGAAUCCUAAUUCACUCCCACGUUGUGCGGUUGGCCUUCGUUGCCUGCCCAUCUGGAAAACUCCUAAGUGUCAGAGUUCAGAGGAGGCUUAGAGACCACAGGCUCAUCCUGCAGUUGGUGAAACCGAGGUCCCAGGAGGGAGGAAGAAUGCCAAGGUCACAUGAACCGUGGACUGCAAAAUCCAGAGGCUCUCGCCAGCAAGGAUCUCAAAGCACAAAUCUCAGAAUCUCGGCGCUGUUAAGGGGCCUUGGAGACAUCUGGUCCAGCUACCUCUCUCCUGAGAUGGAAACACAGAAACAUAGAGCCUCAGAGUAGGAACAGAAAGUUGACUCUACUCCAGUCCAAUCUGACAGAAGAGGAAAUUGAAGCCCAGAGAAGGCACCUCCUCCAUGCCAGGCCUGAUGCCAGCCCCAGGGAUGACAACAACUCAGGCUUACAAUUCACUUCAUGGUUUACAAAGAGCUUCCACCAGAGAAUUCACAACCACCCUGCAAAGUAGGCGUUCAAGCUUGUGUCCAUUUCCCACACAUGGACACUGAGGCCCAGUGAGGUUGGGUGACUUUCCCAGUCACAGCCAGUAUGUGACAGAGCUAAUAUUUAAAUCUAG